RNAcentral lists this ribosomal RNA (497 nucleotides) under uncultured bacterium. RNAcentral's name for it is "partial 16S ribosomal RNA". It matches the Rfam family "Bacterial small subunit ribosomal RNA", at positions 28 to 507 of the family's 1533-position model. The record is from RNAcentral.
GAUGAACGCUGGCGGCGUGCCUAAUACAUGCAAGUCGAGCGAACGGACGAGAAGCUUGCUUUUCUGAUGUUAGCGGCGGACGGGUGAGUAACAAGUGGAUAACCUACUUAUAAGACUGGGAUAACUUCGGGAAACCGGAGCUAAUACCGGAUAAUAUUUUGAACGGCAUGGUUCAAAAGUGAAAGACGGUCUUGCUGUCACUUAUAGAUGGAUCCGCGCUGCAUUAGCUAGUUGGUAAGGUAACGGCUUACCAAGGCAACGAUGCAUAGCCGACCUGAGAGGGUGAUCGGCCACACUGGAACUGAGACACGGUCCAGACUCCUACGGGAGGCAGCAGUAGGGAAUCUUCCGCAAUGGGCGAAAGCCUGACCGAGCCACGCCGCGUGAGUGAUGAAGGUCUUCGGAUCGUAAAACUCUGUUAUUAGGGAAGAACAUAUGUGUAAGUAACUGUGCACAUCUUGACGGUACCUAAUCAGAAAGCCACGGCUAACUACGUG